RNAcentral lists this ribosomal RNA (370 nucleotides) under uncultured Bacillus sp. RNAcentral describes it as "bacterial SSU rRNA". It matches the Rfam family "Bacterial small subunit ribosomal RNA", at positions 235 to 596 of the family's 1533-position model. Lineage: Bacteria; Bacillati; Bacillota; Bacilli; Caryophanales; Bacillaceae. The record is from RNAcentral.
GGUGCAUUAGCUAGUUGGUGAGGUAACGGCUCACCAAGGCGCACGAUGCAUAGCCGACCUGAGAGGGUGAUCGGCCACACUGGGACUGAGACACGGCCCAGACUCCUACGGGAGGCAGCAGUAGGGAAUCUUCCGCAAUGGACGAAAGUCUGACGGAGCAACGCCGCGUGAGUGAUGAAGGCUUUCGGGUCGUAAAACUCUGUUGUUAGGGAAGAACAAGUAUGAGAGUAACUGCUCGUACCUUGACGGUACCUAACCAGAAAGCCACGGCUAACUACGUGCCAGCAGCCGCGGUAAUACGUAGGUGGCAAGCGUUAUCCGGAAUUAUUGGGCGUAAAGCGCGCGCAGGCGGUUUCUUAAGUCUGAUGUG